Molecule: ribosomal RNA, 1728 nt
Filed under: Euglenaria anabaena
Lineage: Eukaryota; Euglenozoa; Euglenophyceae; Euglenales; Euglenaceae
Description: LSU rRNA
Rfam family: Bacterial large subunit ribosomal RNA
Source: RNAcentral
GGGGGAUAAGCUUCAUUGUCAAGAGGGAAAUAGCCCAGAUCACCAUUUAAGGCCCCUAAAUAAUUACUAAGUGGCAAAGGAUGUAAUAGUACAUAGACAACCAGGAGGUUUGCUUAGAAGCAGCCACCCUUUAAAAAUAGCGUAAUAGCUUACUGGUCAAGUGCUUUUGCGCCGAAAAUGAACGGGACUAAGUAAUUUGCCGAAAGUGUGAGAUAUAAAAAUCGGUAGAAGAGCGUUCUGUUUGGCGGGAAGUAGUAGUGAAAACAACUAUGGACUAAACAGAAGUGAGAAUGUCGGCUUAAGUAACGAAAACAUUGGUGGAAAUCCAAUGCCCCGAAAACCUAAGGAUUCCUUCGCAAGGUUCGUCCACGAAGGGUUAGUCAGGGCCUAAGAUGAGGUUUAAAAACGUAGUUGAUGGACAACAGGUUAAUAUUCCUGUACUGCAUUUAGUUUAUUAAGAGUGACGAAAAAGGCUAUAUCAUCCAAUUAUUGGAUUUUUGGUUUAAUCUUUUAAGGUGUAGAUAAGUAUAAUAAAAGAUACUUUGAGCUGAAAAAGAGAAUACGAAAGACACUACGGUGUCAAAAGUGAUUUAUGUCAUGUUUCCAAGAAAAGCUCUCAUAAUUUAUAAUUAAAUGUACCUGUACCUUAAACUGACACAGGUAGGUUGGUAGAGAAUACCAAGGGGCGCGAGAUAACUCUUUCUAAGGAACUCGGCAAAAUGACUCUGUAACUUCGGGAGAAAGAGUGCCUUAUAUUAUAAGGUCACAGUAACAAGAUCCAAGCGACUGUUUACCAAAAACACAGGUCUCCGCUAAGUUGAAAAACUAUGUAUGGGGGCUGACGCCUGCCCAGUGCCGGAAGGUUAAAGAAAUCGGUUAACUUCGGUGAAGCUGGUGACUGAAGCCCUGGUGAACGGCAGCCGUAACUAUAACGGUUCUAAGGUAGCGAAAUUCCUUGUCGGGUAAGUUCCGACCCGCACGAAAGGCGUAACGAUUUGGAUACUGUCUCAGAAAGAGACUCGGUGAAAUAGAAUUGACUGUGAAGAUGCGGUCUACUUGCACUUGGACAGAAAGACCCUAUGAAGCUUUACUGUAACUUGAAAUUGGUUUUGGGCUUUCCUUGCGCAGCAUAGGUGGGAGGCUAUGACCCUCUUUUUCGGAAGUAGGUGAGCCACAAUAUGAGAUACCACUCUGGGGAAGUUAAAAAUCUAAUAGUAUUUUUUAUCAAUGUACUUGACAGUUUCAGGCGGGCAGUUUUACUGGGGCGGUAGCCUCCUAAAAAGUAACGGAGGCGUACAAAGGUUUUCUCAGUCUGGACGGAAAUUAGUUGCAGAGUAUAAAGACAUAAGAAAGCUUGACUGCGAGACUUACAAGUCGAGCAGAGACUAAAGUCGGUCUUAGUGAUCCGACGGUGCUGUGUGGAAAGGCCGUCGCUCAACGGAUAAAAGUUACUCUAGGGAUAACAGGCUGAUCUCCCCCAAGAGUUCACAUCGACGGGGAGGUUUGGCACCUCGAUGUCGGCUCAUCGCAACCUGGAGCGGAAGUACGUUCCAAGGGUUGGGCUGUUCGCCCAUUAAAGCGGUACGUGAGCUGGGUUCAGAACGUCGAGAGACAGUUCGGUCCAUAUCCGGUGUGAGUGUUAGAGUAUUGAAAGGAGCUUUCCUUAGUACGAGAGGACCGGGAAGGACACACCACUGAUGUACCAGUUUUUGUGCCAGCGGAAAACGC